This is a non-coding RNA of Parelaphostrongylus tenuis, 73 nucleotides long. Lineage: Eukaryota; Metazoa; Nematoda; Chromadorea; Rhabditida; Metastrongylidae. The record is from the annotation of a GenBank genome assembly.
UCCUCGGUGGUGUAAUGCUAGAGCACUCGUCCCCGCAUAGGAUGAAGUGCGGGUUCGAGUUCCGCCUGAGGCA